Helianthus annuus (common sunflower) is the source of this 1279-nucleotide long non-coding RNA. RefSeq lists it as uncharacterized. The record is from RefSeq and is a predicted model, not a curated record. The transcript is spliced from 3 exons. NCBI's taxonomy places the organism in Eukaryota, Viridiplantae, Streptophyta, Magnoliopsida, Asterales, Asteraceae.
CAAACAUGCACUAAAUCCCAUCCACGUUCUGCAACAAUUGCCCUCACUCUUCAAUCCCCUUUCGAUCGCCAGACCCACAUUGAUGUCACCUCUACCCCACAUCUCUCGCCUUCCUUCCCUAACCCUAAUCGACCCUACGAUCAAUGGUCGAUUUAAGAGAUCCUAACGAUGAACAAAAAGCGUUUGGAACAUGAUGCGGAUCAAACUGUAGAAGGAUCCAAUGCAGGUUUGAAGUCAACGUCGUCGGUUUUAUUGAAGUUUCGUAUGGGGUUCACUGCAACGAUAAAUCAGAGAAUGUGGUGCGAUUUGAUUACCAGGGAUUUUGUGUCGUUGCUUGCUGUCCCUCCCAGUUAAAAUCCACAUGAUCUCACCCCUUUGUCUAGGUCUAACAGUUUCUUUUCUAAUCAAGUUGUUCCCUAAAUUAUGUUAAUUCGAUUGCUUAGUUGAAUUCUUUGUUUACAAUCUUGUUCAAUUUCCAUAUCAGAUUGUAGCCAUAAAGUUUGUAAUGUUGAGGGGAAUAUCAUUUAUGUUUAAGAAAAAUGUUGUUGUGACUGGUGAUGUUUUGAAGAAACAAUUGAGUCAACUACUUGUCUUAUAUGGGUUAUCGCAUUGCUAUUCAUUUAUAAGAACCUAUCAGGUAAUGUGUCAAAAGUAAGGUAGGUUGGGUUUGGCUAGCUGACCCACAGUCGUUAUCCGUUUAUGUGGACUUAUAAAUAUGUGAAUAUGGAUAAUUUGUACAAGUAGAAACGAGUCAGCUUGGGUUGGGUUAGGACUUACAAGUUACUGGAUGAUGAUGACAAGAAAGUGACGGACCUAGCAGCUCUGUUAAGUCUAAAAAGACCAAUAUACAUGUGGGAUCUUUCAGAAAAAAGAGUGAAACUCAAGAAGAUGAUGAGGGAGCUAUAAAUUUGAAAGAAGAAAGACAAGUGAAACAAAAAGUUACCCAUGAUGAAUAUGAUGGUUCUAAGGUAUUGAUGUAUCAUCAGUAAUGGCAAUUUUUUGGUCAAAUAUUACUUCCAAAGUUCCAUUCUUGUGACAUAAUGAAGAAGAAUAACUGGAUGACCAAACACAAGAGGAUCACAUAGAUGCCCUCCUUGACUAGGUACAUUUUACAUGCAUGUUAUAGUUACGGACUAUGGCCAAGAGUCAUGGGUUAGGUAAUGGGUCAAGACGGGGUUGGGUUGAACCGGGUCAUCAUGAGUAUGAGCCAAAACGCGUAGUCUGACCUUCAACUACCUUUUCUUUUAAUUUUCAUAAAUAAUGAAGGCGUAAAUUGUGA